RNAcentral lists this ribosomal RNA (253 nucleotides) under uncultured bacterium. Its description in RNAcentral is "partial 16S ribosomal RNA". It matches the Rfam family "Bacterial small subunit ribosomal RNA", at positions 524 to 776 of the family's 1533-position model. The record is from RNAcentral.
UACGAAGGGGACUAGCGUUGUUCGGAAUCACUGGGCGUAAAGCGUACGUAGGCGGAUUCGUAAGUCAGGGGUGAAAUCCCGGGGCUCAACCCCGGAACUGCCUUUGAUACUGGGUAUCUCGAGUCCGGAAGAGGUGAGUGGAAUUCCGAGUGUAGAGGUGAAAUUCGUAGAUAUUCGGAGGAACACCAGUGGCGAAGGCGGCUCACUGGUCCGGUACUGACGCUGAGGUGCGAAAGCGUGGGGAGCAAACAGG